GAAUUGCUGAGGUUUAUCUGAAGAGCUUUUUUCUGCUGAUGGCCUCUAGUAUGUACGUCUUUACGAACUAUGUGUGCUAUUUGGUAUAAUUUUUUAUACAUUGUUCUGUGCGCCUCUGCUGUCAAGUGUCAGUUUAAAGAUCUAUGAGGAGAAUAUCCAACUACAACCAUUUAUGUACUAAUAAGGAAUGAGCAAUGGAAUAAGCAAUGAGCUACUUCCCCCUGACGAAAACAAGAGGCUCCAGAAAUAAACACAGAGGAGAAAAAGGAAAUGCAAGAAGGGGGAGGGAUUAGAAGAGAAUGAUGCUGAAGAAGAGGAACACAGUCCUUAUUGCACUUGUAACACCACCUCAGGCACUGUGAAGGGAGAGUAAAUGUGCUAAGAGGACCAGAGGUCACAAAGAGAGAGAACCCAAACACUAAUGGGCUGUAGUUUGGCAUGAGGCACAGGGAAUCUAGUGUGCGGACUUGCAAAGAUAAAGGUCCACCCACCCAUGCUGCACAGAGGGCUCUGAUGAGCUCUACAUGUCAAGGUUGAUGUAGGAAUUUGACAAGUGCAUAGUCAGGCCUGCCUGGCUAAAGCAAGAGAUGGCGUUCAUCUCCCUGAUCUUUCAGGAGUUUGUGCAGAGCCACAAGGGCAUCACUUCCUCAUUGAAGGUAACAUGCAAUUUUCUGCAAGGAUUUGAAAACAAUUGCCACAAGUAGCAGCUCUUCAGUCAGGUGGCAGCUGAUGCAGAGUCACAGGCCAGGCCACUUGAUGUCCUACUGCCUCUGUGGAGUUUCAUGUUAAUCCAGGUAGAUCUCUUGUUUCAGCAGCCAGGAGCAAUGAGUUGCCAACUGGGAGCAGCUUAUUGUGCUCAAUGAGUGGAGAGUUUCUACUUUUAAGCAGAUUCCUGCUCUCCGUGGACAACAAGCUACAACUUGUGGACUGCUCAUGGUUCAUACCAAAGCAAGAUACGAGAAGCUAGUUGUCCUCCACGAACAGAGAGAUGCUGCAUAAGACCAGAUUGUUCUCUAGUACAAGCAAAGGGAUGCUACACAUGAACAGUUCACUCUCCUAUAGGAACAGUGAUAUGUUAUGUGUAACCUCAUCUCUUCUUCAGGA
This is a long non-coding RNA of Pristis pectinata (smalltooth sawfish), 1104 nucleotides long. RefSeq lists it as uncharacterized. The record is from RefSeq and is a predicted model, not a curated record. The transcript has 3 exons. Lineage: Eukaryota; Metazoa; Chordata; Chondrichthyes; Rhinopristiformes; Pristidae.